Molecule: ribosomal RNA, 497 nt
Filed under: uncultured bacterium
Lineage: Bacteria
Description: partial 16S ribosomal RNA
Rfam family: Bacterial small subunit ribosomal RNA
Source: RNAcentral
GAUGAACGCUGGCGGCGUGCCUAAUACAUGCAAGUCGAGCGAACGGACGAGAAGCUUGCUUCUCUAAUGUUAGCGGCGGACGGGUGAGUAACACGUGGAUAACCUACCUAUAAGACUGGGAUAACUUCGGGAAACCGUAGCUAAUACCGGAUAAUAUUUUGAACCGCAUGGUUCAAAAGUGAAAGACGGUCUUGCUGUCACUUAUAGAUGGAUCCGCGCUGCAUUAGCUAGUUGGUAAGGUAACGGCUUACCAAGGCAACGAUGCAUAGCCGACCUGAGAGGGUGAUCGGCCACACUGGAACUGAGACACGGUCCAGACUCCUACGGGAGGCAGCAGUAGGGAAUCUUCCGCAAUGGGCGAAAGCCUGACGGAGCAACGCCGCGUGAGUGAUGAAGGUCUUCGGAUCGUAAAACUCUGUUAUUAGGGAAGAACAUAUGUGUAAGUAACUGUGCACAUCUUGACGGUACCUAAUCAGAAAGCCACGACUAACUACGUG